GUAAUCGCGGAUCAGAAUGCCGCGGUGAAUACGUUCCCGGGUCUUGUACACACCGCCCGUCACACCAUGGGAGUCGGAAAUGCCCGAAGUCUGUGACCCAACCGCAAGGAGGGAGCAGCCGAAGGCAGGUCGGAUGACUGGGGUGAAGUCGUAACAAGGUACC
Molecule: ribosomal RNA, 163 nt
Filed under: uncultured bacterium
Lineage: Bacteria
Description: partial 16S ribosomal RNA
Rfam family: Bacterial small subunit ribosomal RNA
Source: RNAcentral